UCCUCCAGCCUUUGAGCUAUCGCUGCUUCGCGCAGCUAGUUGCCUGGGGCUGAUAAACCAGCGCCAGCUCUCUCCAGGAGCGCUCACUUUACCAAGCCCUUCCCAGCAAGGUUCAGAAAGGAUGCGCUUUGGUGAGAACGUGGCUCAGUCUUUCCGCGGAGCCGGAGAUGGGGGACCGCAACACAUUUUCGCUGGGGGACUCUUGAGGUUCUUUUUCGCCGUUCAACUCUACUCCUAAGGGAAGAAAGGCCUUUGAGUGGUAUAGACGGUCCCACUCCCUCAGCCCCACCCGCAACACCAUUACAUUGAAAAAGGCAAUCUGUUAGCUUUAGGAUAAAUCGGAUGUGAAGUAGCCUAAAGUAGACGAAGCAGAACCACGACUUAUGGAGGAGAGGAGACAGCCUUAUUUUUAAUCCAGUGUGAAAUAAGGUCCUGGUUCAUCCCUCUCUAAUCCUGUUUCCAAAGCACUACAUCAGCAAAGGCUUAGUUGUCAAAAAAAAAAAAAAAAAAAAAA
Molecule: long non-coding RNA, 514 nt
Organism: Rhinolophus ferrumequinum (greater horseshoe bat)
Lineage: Eukaryota; Metazoa; Chordata; Mammalia; Chiroptera; Rhinolophidae
Exons: 3
Source: RefSeq, a predicted model, not a curated record